Oreochromis aureus is the source of this 2968-nucleotide long non-coding RNA. The record is from Ensembl. NCBI's taxonomy places the organism in Eukaryota, Metazoa, Chordata, Actinopteri, Cichliformes, Cichlidae.
CUGUGAAGAAAGGCUUUAAGCUUAUGUGGGUAACUUCAGGGUUGACUUUAAAUCAUUGUACAUUUUCUAUACACACGAAGAAACAGUGAUAUUUCUAUAUGAUUCUUUAAUGUCAUUUCACUGUAUUCACGGAGAGAACUUUGUACCCACACUGAGGCUACUACUGGCUACCCUCACAUAAUCAGUUUUUUCACUAAAUACAUCGUCUAGGAACCGACUUCAUUGUGUAUGCCAAAUUUUGCUAGUUUUGGUCAUGAGUUAUUUAAAAAUGAAUUUGUUCUGUCACGUAACCUUGAGAGCUUAAGUACAACCUCAUAUCACAUUGCACGCCUAACUUGACCUUUCACACAACUCAUAACAUGGACGACGCGACAGCUCCCCAAAAAUGAAGCCAAAACGUCUCUAUCGCCCCCUGGUGUCUGGCUGCAGUAUAGGUCAUAAAUCCCACCUCCUCCAUGUUAGCAGAUGGGACUGGGGUCGGACUAAAAUAAAAAUUUCUCCAAAGAUUCUUUAACUAUCAAUAGUCCUCAUCAUUUAUAUUCAAGGGGUCUCCUUUCCUGAGCAGAGUGAACCAGGACUGCAAACCUGCUCCAUCUUCUCGUCUCUGGAGAUUUCCAUUUACAAAAUGUCUGUGAAGGUUCUCAGUCAUCCAGGUCAUCGUAGUCAAAGGAGUUUGCAAAGAAAGGCGUCUGGACUUCUUUAAGUUGCUUGAAGACGUUUCACCUCUCAUCCGAGAAGCUUCUCCUCAGUGACAACAACACCUACGAAGCUUUAAAACGAGACCCCACAAGCAGCUACAAAAAGAAAGUUAUAGCUUGCCUUCAAGACCUUGAAAAGGACAAAAUCAUUGACCGCCUCACAUAUCACCGCCUUUAUCCAGGGGAUGCCAUACCCUGCAUUUAUGGACUUCCUAAGAUCCACAAGGAAGGGGUCCCACUCAGACCCAUAGUCAGUAGCAUAAACUCAGCCACUUAUAACAUUGCAAAACACCUUGCUACCAUCCUUGCACCUCUCGUGGGGAACACCCACACCCACAUCAAGAACUCCACUGACUUCACCGACAAGGUCCAGAAACUUACCCUGGAUCCAGAUGAAACCAUGGUGUCCUUUGAUGUAGUCUCUCUCUUCACUUGCAUACCCACCACGGAAGCAGUGGAGACUGUCAGAAAACGACUACAAGAAGACAGCUCCUUGGAAGACAGGACCAACUUCACACCCGAUCAGAUCUGCACACUGUUAGACCUCUGCCUUACCACAACAUACUUCAAAUACAACGAAGGCUUCUACAGACAAAAACAUGGCUGUGCCAUGGGCUCCCCUGUGUCACCUAUUGUAGCCAACCUUUACAUGGAGGAAGUUGAAAGAAAGGCUCUUGGCUCUUUCAAAGGAGGAGCACCCAGCCACUGGUACAGAUAUGUAGAUGACACCUGGGUCAAAAUCAAGACACAAGAAGUGGAAUCCUUCACUGCGCACUUUAACGCCAUGGAUAAAAACAUCAAGUUCACCAGGGAAGACACAAAGGAUAACUGUUUGCCUUUCCUGGACUGCGCUGUGCACAUUGAAGAGAAUGGCAACCUCAACAUUGAAGUUUACCGGAAGCCCACACACACGGACCAGUACCUCCUCUUUGACUCCCAUCACCCUCUGGAACACAAACUUGGAGUAAUUAGGACCCUACACCACCGGGCAGAACUUGUUCCCUCUAAGCCUGAAGAGAAAAAGAAGGAACACACACAUGUAAAGGAAGCACUGAAAACAUGUGGUUAUCCUAACUGGGCGUUCAUAAAGUCAGCAAAGAGGCACAGAAAAGAAGAUCAGACACCAGCGAGGGAGGAUAAGAAAGACAGACGCAACAACAUUGUCAUCCCCUAUGUAGCCGGUGUAUCAGAGAAACUCAGGAGAGUUUUCUCCAAGCAUGACAUCCCAGUGUACUUCAGACCAAGCAACACACUCAGACACAAACUGGUUCACCCGAAAGACAAAACUCCAAAACACAGACUGAACAACGUGGUGUAUGCGGUACAGUGCAGAGAGGAAUGCCCGGACGUCUACAUUGGAGAGACCAAACAGCCACUUCACAAGCGUAUGGCACAACAUAGAAGAGCCACCUCCACAGGACAAGACUCAGCAGUCCAUCUGCAUCUUAAGGAUAAAGGUCACUCUUUCGAGGAUGCCAAUGUUCACAUUUUGGACAGGGAGGACAGAUGGUUUGAAAGAAGAGUGAAAGAGGCCAUCUAUGUCCACUGUGAGCGACCAUCUUUGAACAGAGGCGGUGGUUUACGACACCAACUCUCUGCCAUCUAUAAUCCAGUUUUGAGUUCCCUCCCCAGACGCCUUAACGCCCACUCACAUCCUGGGCCAUCUGACCUCAGGAAUUCACAUGACAAGGUGGGGCCAGGUUUCACAAUGGGCUCACCCGAAACCCUGGCUGAUUAGGUCCCACACCCGCUUUCACACCUUGGCGCAUGUGAUUAGAGGAUCACCAGGGGGUCCUUUGUCCCUCCUUGGGGGGAUACUCCCACUGGGUUUAAAUCUGGGACUCUCGGCCAUUUGACCUUAGAACUGAAGAAGCUUCUCGGAUGAGAGGUGAAACGUCUUCAAGCAACUUAAAGAAGUCCAGACGCCUUUCUUUGCAAACUCCUUUGACUUCCAUUUACAAAGCACCAACAACUCAAAGGAGCUGCCCUCAGAUUCAGACCUCAGCACCACCCAGUGAAAGCAGACAGAUCAUUCAACAUGUUCACGUUAACUCCAAAAUUAACUGAUGAAAGCUGCAGCUGUUUUAUUGAUAAAGUCAAAAGGAUUAAUCACCCCUGUCACUGUCACUAUAUAUCAGCAGUCUGGUGUUUCAGAAAGCUGCUAUCUGAGACCUGUAGAGGUUCUGUUUUAAACACUGAAUGCACUCAGCCACAUGAAGAGCACAUGAGAUUUUCCCUGACACACUUAAAUAAAACCUGAUGAAGGUUAA